Molecule: ribosomal RNA, 160 nt
Filed under: uncultured bacterium
Lineage: Bacteria
Description: partial 16S ribosomal RNA
Rfam family: Bacterial small subunit ribosomal RNA
Source: RNAcentral
AUCGCAGAUCAGCAUGCUGCGGUGAAUACGUUCCCGGGCCUUGUACACACCGCCCGUCACACCAUGAGAGUCGAUAACACCCGAAGCCUGUAGUCUAACCAUAAGGAGGACGCAGUCGAAGGUGGGAUUGAUAAUUAGGGUGAAGUCGUAACAAGGUACC